UGCAGCGAUGAGUAAGACAGAUGCUGUCCCUGCCCCGGGAGCUCGUAGGCUAGUCGACACAGAGAAAAUCUGAGCCAAGAGCUUCCCAAAAGAGGGGGAGGCAGGAGGCACCCACAAAUAACCAAAGCAGAAGGAAGAGAGGAACAAAGGACACGGGGGGCUUCAGAGGGAGAUGGACGUGAGUCGUGGGUCCAAAUCUAGAGAGGUAUCUUACCGUGUAGGUCUCGGCUUCCUCAUCUGCGAAAUGGAGAUGCCUGCUCAUCCUGGCCACCAGUAAAAGACAGCUCCGAAAUUCCGGAAGAGGAAUACAAAGCGGGGGUGGGAUUCCAGGCAGGACCGAUGCACUCCAGCUGGGGGAAUCGCGGGAGUCUUUCUCCAGGAGGUCACGAGGCGUCAGAGACUGGAGUCAGAGCCUGGUGCGUUGGCCAGGUGCUCAGUCCUUAAACAGAAAUCUCAACUUGCCAAGGAGUCCGAGAAUGGAGAAGAAAAAAGAAAAAAAGAAAGGCAAAAGCAAUUUUCAACCAGGAAUAGGUGACUCUCAGGGGUCUUUUGGCCAACAGGGACAGGGAGUGUCCCGGGUGGUGUUUGGUCUUGGGAUGAGAAACUCGGGGAGCAGAGCUGAACCCGGCCCGCAGCUGAGCCUGAAGCCGAGACCCAACCCUACUGAGUUGUAACUGGUCCACAGACCCGGAGUCCCGUAUAGAUGAACCGUCAGAGGCCAGGAGCUACAACUUUGGCACCUCUUGAAGAUGCUGUGUGUCCCGUCUGGUCAUCCUUGUCUCUCACCCACCAUCCUGACAUUUAUGGUAAUAAUUUCCAGCCUUUUGCUUAAUGUAUCAUUAUCGGCAUGUCCAUCCCUAAAC
This 863-nucleotide long non-coding RNA is filed under the name Felis catus (domestic cat). RNAcentral describes it as "lncRNA (ENSFCAG00000044020.2)". The record is from RNAcentral. Lineage: Eukaryota; Metazoa; Chordata; Mammalia; Carnivora; Felidae.